AUUGAACGCUGGCGGCAGGCCUAACACAUGCAAGUCGAGCGGUAGCACAGAGAGCUUGCUCUCGGGUGACGAGCGGCGGACGGGUGAGUAAUGUCUGGGAAACUGCCUGAUGGAGGGGGAUAACUACUGGAAACGGUAGCUAAUACCGCAUAACGUCGCAAGACCAAAGAGGGGGACCUUCGGGCCUCUUGCCAUCAGAUGUGCCCAGAUGGGAUUAGCUAGUAGGUGGGGUAACGGCUCACCUAGGCGACGAUCCCUAGCUGGUCUGAGAGGAUGACCAGCCACACUGGAACUGAGACACGGUCCAGACUCCUACGGGAGGCAGCAGUGGGGAAUAUUGCACAAUGGGCGCAAGCCUGAUGCAGCCAUGCCGCGUGUAUGAGGAAGGCCUUCGGGUUGUAAAGUACUUUCAGCGAGGAGGAAGGUGUUGAGG
Molecule: ribosomal RNA, 433 nt
Filed under: uncultured Gammaproteobacteria bacterium
Lineage: Bacteria; Pseudomonadati; Pseudomonadota; Gammaproteobacteria
Description: bacterial SSU rRNA
Rfam family: Bacterial small subunit ribosomal RNA
Source: RNAcentral